This 543-nucleotide long non-coding RNA is filed under the name Heterocephalus glaber (naked mole-rat). RNAcentral's name for it is "lncRNA (ENSHGLG00100043001.1)". Lineage: Eukaryota; Metazoa; Chordata; Mammalia; Rodentia; Bathyergidae. The record is from RNAcentral.
CGAGGGCUAAGCGCACAGUUGGGCGCAGGAGAGGAUGCUCGUGGGACCGUGGCGCGGGGUCGACGUUGACCCCUUCAGCCUCGCGCCCCGCGCUGUCCCUGCCUGGCGGAGGCCGGACUGUGGGGGUAGCGUCUGAAGCCUGCGCGACUGCGGCCUGUGUUUAUCAAUCUGGGACACACGGCUCUGAUGGAAGAGAGAACCAAACUUACAUCAGACACUUGACCCCUUGGCCCGGAGCCAAACCAGAUCAGCCGGGCGAGCCUCCCCCAGGGCAGGCUUGUACAUGACAGAUGACACUUGCCAGAGAAGUCAGGUCACUGCCAUCUCCAGCCCCACAUUCCCAUCCCAAUUUUUUUUUUUUUAAAAAAGAACAAUCUAGAUAUCAGGCGUGCAAAUCACAAAUUGGAACCGGAAAGGGCCAGAUUCCAAGCCCUGUACCCCUGCCCCCAUUUUACAGGUGGGAGAACCGCUGCUGGGGACAAAUUUAUGUUCUUCCCCCUAGUGGGGGAAUUCAGAUUAGGAGGCAUCUUCAGGACAUCACAG